GCAAUAUCAGUUUAAAACAUCGGUUCUCGUACGAUCAUGUUAGUUAAGCAACGUUGAGCCUGGUCAGUACCUACGUGGGUUCCCGCUUGGAAAUACCAGGUGCUGUAGG
Acanthosepion pharaonis is the source of this 109-nucleotide non-coding RNA. The record is from the annotation of a GenBank genome assembly. NCBI's taxonomy places the organism in Eukaryota, Metazoa, Mollusca, Cephalopoda, Sepiida, Sepiidae.